Roridomyces roridus is the source of this 92-nucleotide non-coding RNA. The record is from the annotation of a GenBank genome assembly. NCBI's taxonomy places the organism in Eukaryota, Fungi, Basidiomycota, Agaricomycetes, Agaricales, Mycenaceae.
GCAUUAAUGGGGUAGUGGUAACCUGGGUCGUUGCCAUGUUUUGUCGAACGCAAUGUUUCGACCCGCCGGGGGUUCGAUUCCCCCUUAAUGCA